RNAcentral lists this ribosomal RNA (1358 nucleotides) under Lymantria mathura (rosy gypsy moth). Its description in RNAcentral is "16S ribosomal RNA". The record is from RNAcentral. Lineage: Eukaryota; Metazoa; Arthropoda; Insecta; Lepidoptera; Erebidae.
AUGAUUUAUUAAUAAAAGAAAUUUUAAGGACUAUUUUUAUUUUAAUGGGGGUUAAAGUAUGUUAAUAGGAAAAAUUUGAAGAGUUAAAGGGUAUUAUGUAUUGAGAAAGAAUUUUGAAAUAAAUUUAAAUAUUUAAUUUUAUUUAAAGUAGUUUUAAUUUAAUGUAUCUUGUGUAUCAGAGUUUGUUUAAAGAUUAUUUUAGGUAAGUAGUUCUCGAAUUUAAGAGAGAGAAUUAAUUAUAAAAGUUAUUGUGGUAUAAAUAUUUUUAAUAAUUAAUUUGAAAUGAGAUGUUAAUCGUUCUUAAAUAUAUCUGGUUUUUUUAGAAAGAAUUUUAAUUUUGGAUUAAUUUAAUUAAUAUUAAUUUUUAAAUUAUUUAUUUAUUAAUUUAAUCUUAUAUUUUAGGGGAUAAGCUUUAAAUUAAAUUUAAUAUAAUAAUUUAUUUAUUUUUAUUGAAAAUUAUAUGAUUUAUAUUGUUAAAAAAUUUUAUUUUAUUGUAAAUAAUUUCAAUUUAAAUAAAAUUUAAAUUAAUUUAUUAAUAUUUAUAAGAAUUUUUUUUUUAUAAGAUAAAAUUAGGAAUAAUGAUAAAAUUAGUAUAAAAUUUUUAAAGAAUAUUAUAAUUUUGUAAGAUAUUUUUAAGGAAUUCGGCAAAUUUGUUAUAUUCACUUGUUUAUCAAAAACAUGUCUUUUUGAUAUAUAAUUUAAAGUCUGAUCUGCCCACUGAUAUUAAUUAAAGGGCUGCAGUAUUUUGACUGUACAAAGGUAGCAUAAUCAUUAGUCAUUUAAUUGAUGGCUUGUAUGAAGGAUUGGAUGAAAUAUAGACUGUCUUAAUAUUAAUUUUUAAAAUUUAAUUUUUAAGUUAAAAAGCUUAAAUAGAUUAAAAAGACGAGAAGACCCUAUAGAGUUUUAUUAUUGUUUUAAAAUAAAGUUUUUAUAAAUAUAUUAAUUUAAUUUAUUUUAAUAAUUUUGUUGGGGUGAUAGAAAAAUUAAAUAAACUUUUUUUUUAUAUAUUUUCAUGAAUAAGUGAGUAAGUGAUCCAGUAGUAUUGAUUAUAAGAGAAAAUUACCUUAGGGAUAACAGCGUAAUUUUAUUUUUUAGUUCAAAUAAGAAAUAGAGUUUGCGACCUCGAUGUUGGAUUAAGAUAAAAUUUAGAUGUAGAAGUUUAAAGUUUUGAUCUGUUCGAUCAUUAGAAUCUUACAUGAUCUGAGUUCAAACCGGUGUAAGCCAGGUUGGUUUCUAUCUUUUAAUUAGGGGAAUAUUUUAGUACGAAAGGAUCAAAUAUUUAAAUUAAAUUUUAGUUUUGAAUUUUAUUAAUUUUAAUAAAAAAUUAUUAUUAUAUAUAUAUAUAUAUAUGUAUAUUG